UCCGUAGGUGAACCUGCGGAAGGAUCAUUACCGAGUGAGGGCCCUCUGGGUCCAACCUCCCACCCGUGUCUAUCGUACCUUGUUGCUUCGGCGGGCCCGCCGUUUCGACGGCCGCCGGGGAGGCCCUGCGCCCCCGGGCCCGCGCCCGCCGAAGACCCCAACAUGAACGCUGUUCUGAAAGUAUGCAGUCUGAGUUGAUUAUCGUAAUCAGUUAAAACUUUCAACAACGGAUCUCUUGGUUCCGGCAUCGAUGAAGAACGCAGCGAAAUGCGAUAAGUAAUGUGAAUUGCAGAAUUCAGUGAAUCAUCGAGUCUUUGAACGCACAUUGCGCCCCCUGGUAUUCCGGGGGGCAUGCCUGUCCGAGCGUCAUUGCUGCCCUCAAGCACGGCUUGUGUGUUGGGCCCCCGUCCCCCUCUCCCGGGGGACGGGCCCGAAAGGCAGCGGCGGCACCGCGUCCGGUCCUCGAGCGUAUGGGGCUUUGUCACCUGCUCUGUAGGCCCGGCCGGCGCCAGCCGACACCCAACUUUAUUUUUCUAAGGUUGACCUCGGAUCAGGUAGGGAUACCCGCUGAACUUAAG
Molecule: ribosomal RNA, 578 nt
Filed under: Aspergillus fumigatus
Lineage: Eukaryota; Fungi; Ascomycota; Eurotiomycetes; Eurotiales; Aspergillaceae
Description: eukaryotic LSU rRNA
Rfam family: 5.8S ribosomal RNA (bases 216-369)
Source: RNAcentral